UCAACCGGGGAGGGUCAUUGGAACCUGGGAGACUUAAGUGCAGAAGGGAGGAGUGGAAUUUCCACGUGUAGCGGUGAAAUGCGUAGAGAUGUGGAGGAACACCAGUGGCGAAGGCGACUCUCUGGUCUGUAACUGACGCUAGGGCGCGAACGCGUGGGGAGCGAACAGGAUUAGAUACCUUGGUAGUCCACGCCGUAAACGAUGAGUGCUAAGUGUUAGAGGGUUUCCGCCCUUUAGUGCUGCAGCUAACGCAUUUAGCACUCCGCCUGGGGAGUACGGCCGCAAGGCUGAAACUCAAAGGAAUUGACGGGGGCCCGCACAAGCGGUGGAGCAUGUGGUUUAAUUCGAAGCAACGCGAAGAACCUUACCAGGUCUUGACAUCCUCUUGACCUCCCUAGAGAUAGGGAUUUCCCUUCGGGGACAGGAGUGACAGGUGGUGCAUGGUUGUCGUCAGCUCGUGUCGUGAGAUGUUGGGUUAAGUCCCGCAACGAGCGCAACCCUUGACCUUAGUUGCCAGCAUUCAGUUGGGCACUCUAAGGUGACUGCCGGUGACAAACCGGAGGAAGGUUGGGAUGACGUCAAAUCAUCAUGCCCCUUAUGACCUGGGCUACACACGUGCUACAAUGGAUGGUACAAAGGGCUGCAAGACCGCGAGGUUUAGCCAAUCCCAUAAAACCAUUCUCAGUUCGGAUUGUAGGCUGCAACUCGCCUACAUGAAGCCGGAAUCGCUAGUAAUCGCGGAUCAGCAUGCCGCGGUGAAUACGUUCCCGGGCCUUGUACACACCGCCCGUCACACCACGAGAGUUUGUAACACCCGAAGUCGGUGGGGUAACCAUUU
This 838-nucleotide ribosomal RNA is filed under the name Heyndrickxia oleronia. Its description in RNAcentral is "bacterial SSU rRNA". It matches the Rfam family "Bacterial small subunit ribosomal RNA", at positions 609 to 1444 of the family's 1533-position model. Lineage: Bacteria; Bacillati; Bacillota; Bacilli; Caryophanales; Bacillaceae. The record is from RNAcentral.